RNAcentral lists this long non-coding RNA (864 nucleotides) under Gallus gallus (chicken). RNAcentral's name for it is "lncRNA (ENSGALG00010015420.1)". The record is from RNAcentral. Lineage: Eukaryota; Metazoa; Chordata; Aves; Galliformes; Phasianidae.
GGAUCCCACUGCUGGUCCACCACGUACCACUCCAUUGCAGUUUAUAUGACCUUUUCAGAAAACACUGAACCAUUCCUCUGGAGCUUAAAACUCUGUGGUGCUGUUAUCUCACCUGAAACAGCCUUGAGUUAGGUCAACUCCUGGCUGAAUUCAGCUAAACCAAAGCGCAAUUCUAAAUUCAGUAAAAAUAUAUGCAUUUGUUCUCUGCAUCCAGAGAGAAGCCUCUGCAGCAGUAAUGGGCAGUGUCCCUCCUGCCCUGGCACAGAUUGCCCCAUAGGGCUGCGGGGUGCCCAGAGGGGAGGAACAAAGGAAGCCGAAUAGCCCUGAAAGUCAACAGGAGAAAACUUUAUUGCCAGAUCCAAACUAGAAGGCAUCGAACGCCCACUCGCCCCACGCAUCAGCUGACAAAAGCCAGCACAGCAUCCCUGGCCCACACACCUCUUUCCACCAAAGCUCGGGGCCGUGAGAAGAUGUCAUCCCCACACCCAGGGCCUCAUGGAGGGCCGCCGCCGCCACAUCCCGGGCCUGGGCACCCACCCGCACCGCACAGUCCUCCAGGGCAUCACCACCCACCCGGCCAUCACCCGCCCGGCCAUCACCCGCCCGGCCAUCACCCACCCGGCCAUCACCCACCCGGCCAUCACCCACCCGGGCACCACCCGCCGGGCCCCCACCCCCACGGCCACCCCCACUAGGCGCUGAGCCCUGGCGGCGGCCGCCCCUGGCACGGGUCCGUCUCUGUCCAUCGGCUACCCCGCGGCGGCGCUGCCGCCGGGGUCUCCCUCCGCCCACGUGUGGCAGCACCUCUGCCGGAAACAGAAGCUUGGGCUUGGGUUGAGGUCAGCAAUAAAAGUCCGCUCGGGG